This 290-nucleotide ribosomal RNA is filed under the name Acidobacteriota bacterium. Its description in RNAcentral is "Acidobacteria bacterium partial 23S ribosomal RNA". It matches the Rfam family "Bacterial large subunit ribosomal RNA", at positions 2646 to 2925 of the family's 2925-position model. The record is from RNAcentral. Lineage: Bacteria; Pseudomonadati; Acidobacteriota.
UGUGGGCGCAGGAGAUUUGCGAGGGUCUGUCCUUAGUACGAGAGGACCGGGAUGGACGAACCUCUUGUGAUCGAGCUGUCACGCCCGUGGCACCGCUCGGUAGCGAAGUUCGGUUGUGAUAACCGCUGAAGGCAUAUAAGCGGGAAGCACUCCUCAAGAUGAGAUCUCCCAAGACCGUAGUGGGUCUAAGAAGGGCCCAGGAAGACUACCUGGUUGAUAGGCAGGAUGUGGAAGCCGAGUGAUCGGUGAAGCUUACCUGUACUAAUCGCCCGUUCGGCUUGACCAUAAAA